This 899-nucleotide small RNA is filed under the name Malus domestica (apple). RNAcentral's name for it is "sRNA MD03G0194700". Lineage: Eukaryota; Viridiplantae; Streptophyta; Magnoliopsida; Rosales; Rosaceae. The record is from RNAcentral.
UAAAGAACCCCAACAAGAAACACAGAAGCACAGAGAGAGAGAGAGAGAGAGAGAGAGAGAGCUGCUCCUAUGCCUUUCAUUUCUCUCUCGGGAAUUUGAAGAUUCAAAGCUUUGAUAUUUGCCUUACUUUGAUCAAGUCCCUUGAUUUCUCUUCAAGGUGAUCGAAAUGGGAUCAAAGGAGAACAACCCAGCUCUUGUUAGGCCUUCAAAUUUCCAAGGUCCGAGAAUUUGGGGUGGGGAGGUUGGGCCGAAUCAUCGACCAGCGCCUGAGGGAUGUCCAUAACAUCACCAGAAAAGAAUGUCCUAGGAAACCAAGGAAGUGUCUGUGAGUUCAUUUGCUGCAAAUCCGCAGGCUGUGGAGAAUAUUGAGCAGGAGGCUUGUGAUGCUCAUGUGCCAAUGUUUGUUACGCACACCCAAGUAGGAUGGAAGAGGAUGAAAAUGUUGUUGAGCACAUAGAUGACAUCUACGCUCACUAUGGGAAAAAUGAGAAUCCAGCAAACUGUAAAGCUGAUGAAACUUUGGACUAACCGGACUAGCAUAGUGGACAUUUCUGCAUUUGGACCCCCGAUCUGUUGGAAAGUGUAUCUAGGAAUUUUAAAGUGAUGUAUAAUUUAUGGGGUGGGAGCGAGUUGAGUGGAGUGAGCGGGUCCAAAUGCAGAAACUUCAUCAGAAUUGCCCUGGUAUGCUUUCUAAAACCCCCCUUUAUAACUGUUGUUUGCUGUGGAGGUGAUUGGAAAAAUACCUAGGAUGUAUCUUUGCUAGAUAUUCAAGUUUAGGGAUAACCUUAGAGACAUAGAAUUAGCAUGAAAUUUUUGUUGCUUAAACUGCUAAAUUCUCUUUGGGAGCAGCCUCUCCAUAAAAUGGGGGUAAGGCUAGCCGACAUUCACCUCUCCCAGAC